Non-coding RNA from Phalacrocorax carbo (great cormorant), 142 nucleotides. The record is from Rfam. Lineage: Eukaryota; Metazoa; Chordata; Aves; Suliformes; Phalacrocoracidae.
AUGGCAGUGAUGAUUGGCGCAGGGGUACGGACCUCAGCUAGAUCAUGGGAGCUGAAUGCAAGCUGGGUUUUUUGGUGUAGCCUGCGUGUGGCCGGCUCACUGGAAACAGGUUUGCAUGAGACUCUGCCAAAAACUGAGCCAU